AGGUGAAUAAGUUAAAUAAACUGCGGGGUUCAUGUCCCCUUAAUAUGAUUUUAUCAUUUCACCCA
RNAcentral lists this transfer RNA (65 nucleotides) under Rhinebothrium megacanthophallus. RNAcentral describes it as "tRNA-Met". Lineage: Eukaryota; Metazoa; Platyhelminthes; Cestoda; Rhinebothriidea; Rhinebothriidae. The record is from RNAcentral.